AUGAACGCUAGCGACAGGCCUAACACAUGCAAGUCGAGGGGCAACGGGGCGUAGCAAUACGCUGCCGGCGACCGGCGGAUGGGUGAGUAACGCGUAUGCAACCUGCCUUCAGCAGGGGGAUAGCCCGUUGAAAGACGGAUUAAUACCCCAUAACGACAGGGGCUCCGCAUGGAGAUUAUUGUUAAAGGGAUGCUUCCUUCGGGGGUAUUCCGGCUGAAGAUGGGCAUGCGUUCCAUUAGGUAGUUGGUUGAGGUAACGGCUCACCAAGCCUGCGAUGGAUAGGGGAACUGAGAGGUUGGUCCCCCACACUGGUACUGAGACACGGACCAGACUCCUACGGGAGGCAGCAGUGAGGAAUCUUGGUCAAUGGACGGAAGUCUGAACCAGCCAUGUCGCGUGAAGGAGGACGGCCCUAAGGGUUGUAAACUUCUUUUGCAGCGGAAUAAAGUAUUCCACGUGAUGGGAUAUUGCAAGUACGCUGCGAAUAAGGAUCGGCUAACUCCGUG
RNAcentral lists this ribosomal RNA (506 nucleotides) under uncultured bacterium. RNAcentral describes it as "bacterial SSU rRNA". It matches the Rfam family "Bacterial small subunit ribosomal RNA", at positions 29 to 507 of the family's 1533-position model. The record is from RNAcentral.